RNAcentral lists this ribosomal RNA (203 nucleotides) under uncultured bacterium. Its description in RNAcentral is "partial 16S ribosomal RNA". It matches the Rfam family "Bacterial small subunit ribosomal RNA", at positions 524 to 725 of the family's 1533-position model. The record is from RNAcentral.
UACAGAGGAGCCAAGCGUUGUCCGGAUUGACUGGGCGUAAAGCGCACGCAGGCGGACGCGCGCGUGGGGUGUGAAAUCUGGCCGCUUAACGGGCCAGGCGCCAUCCCAUACGGCGCGUCUGGAGUGAUGCAGAGGUCGGUGGAAUUGCCGGUGUAGUGGUGAAAUGCGUAGAGAUCGGCAGGAACACCCAGGGGGAAACCGAG